UACAGAGGGUGCGAGCGUUAAUCGGAAUUACUGGGCGUAAAGCGCGCGUAGGCGGCUUUGCAAGUCGAGUGUGAAAUCCCCAGGCUUAACCUGGGAACUGCAUUCGAGACUGCAUAGCUAGAGUAUGGGAGAGGGAAGUGGAAUUUCAGGUGUAGCGGUGAAAUGCGUAGAUAUCUGAAGGAACAUCAGUGGCGAAAGCGACUUCCUGGACCAAUACUGACGCUCAUGUGCGAAAGCGUGGGGAGCAAACGGG
This 253-nucleotide ribosomal RNA is filed under the name uncultured bacterium. RNAcentral describes it as "partial 16S ribosomal RNA". It matches the Rfam family "Bacterial small subunit ribosomal RNA", at positions 524 to 776 of the family's 1533-position model. The record is from RNAcentral.